UACGGAAGGCAGCAGUGGGGAAUAUUGCACAAUGGGCGAAAGCCUGAUGCAGCUAUGCCGCGUGUAUGAAGAAGGCCUUAGGGUUGUAAAGUACUUUCAUCGGGGAGGAAAAAACAAAACUAAUAAUUUUAUUUCUUGACGUUACCCGAAAAAGAAGCACCGGCUAACUCCGUGCCAGCAGCCGCGGUAAUACGGAGGGUGCUAGCGUUAAUCAGAAUUACUGGGCGUAAAGAGCACGUAGGUGGUUUUUUUAAAGUCAGAUGUGAAAUCCCUGGGCUUAACCUGGAACUGCAUUUUGAAACUGAAAUACUAGAGUAUCGUAGAGGGAGGUAGAAUUCUAGGUGUAGCGGUGAAAUGCGUAGAUAUCUGGAGGAAUACCUGUGGCGAAAGCGGCCUCCUAAACGAAUACUGACACUGAGGUGCGAAAGCGUGGGGAGCAAACAGGGAUUAGAACC
RNAcentral lists this ribosomal RNA (455 nucleotides) under uncultured bacterium. Its description in RNAcentral is "bacterial SSU rRNA". It matches the Rfam family "Bacterial small subunit ribosomal RNA", at positions 340 to 785 of the family's 1533-position model. The record is from RNAcentral.